CGCGUAGGCGGUCUUGCAAGUCCUGUGUGAAAUCCCUCGGCUCAACUGAGGAACUGCACAGGAAACUGCUUGGCUUGAGUUCGGGAGAGGGAAGCGGAAUUCCGGGUGUAGCGGUGAAAUGCGUAGAUAUCCGGAGGAACACCGGUGGCGAAGGCGGCUUCCUGGACCGACACUGACGCUGAGGCGCGAAAGCUAGGGGAGCAAACG
This 207-nucleotide ribosomal RNA is filed under the name uncultured bacterium. RNAcentral describes it as "partial 16S ribosomal RNA". It matches the Rfam family "Bacterial small subunit ribosomal RNA", at positions 568 to 774 of the family's 1533-position model. The record is from RNAcentral.